GAGGUGCACUACUAGACUGGGAUUUUUUUGUGCUUGCAAGAAUGAAGUAGCUUACUCGACAAGAAAAGACAAUGGGGUAAUAAUAUAAAAUGGCACCGCCCUUAUUAACAACUGGCCACCUCAAAGUAGUGUAAAAUCAUAAAGUGGUCCUCCAAUCUCUCCAUGAGUGCCACAUCAUCACGCUUCAUUUCAUGAUUCCCUAGGCCCUCCUCAAAGGGCAUU
RNAcentral lists this long non-coding RNA (222 nucleotides) under Setaria italica (foxtail millet). Its description in RNAcentral is "long non-coding RNA (SITA_LNC002324)". Lineage: Eukaryota; Viridiplantae; Streptophyta; Magnoliopsida; Poales; Poaceae. The record is from RNAcentral.